RNAcentral lists this unclassified non-coding RNA (209 nucleotides) under Hevea brasiliensis (rubber tree). Lineage: Eukaryota; Viridiplantae; Streptophyta; Magnoliopsida; Malpighiales; Euphorbiaceae. The record is from RNAcentral.
AAAUGGCAUGUAUACAUUGGGAGAGUUUGUUCCCUGCAUUUAUUCAUGUGAUGCAGGACUAGAAACAGGCAACACCAUGCAUGCACAGGGAUAAAUCUGUUGAAAAUCAGGAAGAAUUUGUGGUUUCCAACAGAUACAGAAGAAAAAGAAGAGUGAACAGGUACAAAGACAAUAUUUAACCAGUCAGAGCAGCAUUAAGGGCGCUGUGU